Cyanistes caeruleus (blue tit) is the source of this 405-nucleotide long non-coding RNA. RefSeq lists it as uncharacterized. The record is from RefSeq and is a predicted model, not a curated record. Lineage: Eukaryota; Metazoa; Chordata; Aves; Passeriformes; Paridae.
CGCUCCCGCCCGCCGCCGCCUCCGCGGAGCCCCCGUGAGGCACGGCCGCCUACAGGAACCAGCAGAAACUGAGCCCACUACCCACAGUGUAUAAAUCUGCCUGGGCAACCCCCACUGAAGUAUGCCUAAGCUACGGCUGUGAAUGCUGUUCCUGGACCUACCCACCUGCAAGUCCAAACCCAGUCAGUGGGUCUGCUUGCCUGCACUUCCUUGGGAAGAAAGAACAAUCCAGCAAAAGAUAAUUGUUAUGCAGAACUCAAAGUGAAAUACUAUUUGUAACAACAACUGUAGUCACAAAUUAAAUGCAGGUACUGGACAAGAUUCACAUAUAUCAGGAAAAACGAUGAUCAGAUAUUUAUUUUCAGACAACAAAUAAAACCACUGGGAAACACUGAAAUGCUCAAA